Molecule: long non-coding RNA, 995 nt
Organism: Gordionus sp. m RMFG-2023
Lineage: Eukaryota; Metazoa; Nematomorpha; Gordioida; Chordodea; Parachordodidae
Exons: 3
Source: RefSeq, a predicted model, not a curated record
GAAAGAAAUUGCAAAAAGCUUGUCCCCAGAGAUGGAGUCUUCGCCAUCAUGCAGCUAACUCUAAUCCCAUACAUUGCUACAAAACAUGAUGAAUCUAUUAUAAAGAUAAGCAAAGAAAAUAAUGACGAUUAAACAAACGCCUUACCCGUUCUAGAGUUGCUGGUAGACAAAAUAAUAAAGAACUACGCUUGAAAUGAACUGAUCUGGAGUUCUCCAAAUUAUACUAUCACCACUACCACAAUCCCUGUGCCUCCGCCUAUUUUUUAACAAAUAUAAACAUUUAAUUCUGUACUGUCAUUCAAUUCACUAGGAGUUAAUAUAAAUAUUACUUUAUCCGAUUCUCUAAGAAACUUUCAUGAAUAUUUAGAGGAAUGCUCAAACUUGAAUGUACAGUACGGCCAAUUUCAUCAACUUUAUUAAUGGAAAAAUAUGCAGUAGUUCUGUCGUGGCCUUUAAAACAAAACUUACGACCUUUCAUGGUUGAGUUAACAUUGUCGUUCAUGAUUGUAUUUUAGAAGGGGAUACCAAUGCUGACAUUGACAGAAAUAUCGUUUUGCGUGUUCAAACUUGAAUGUACAGUACGGCCAAUUUCAUCAACUUUAUUAAUGAAAAUAUAUGCAGUAGUUCUGUCGUAGCCUUUAUAACAUUACUUACGACCGUUUUAUGGUUGAGUUAACAUUGUCGUUCAUGAUUCUAUUUUAGAAGGGGAUACCAAUGCUGACAUUGACAGAAAUAUCGUUUUACGUUCUUCUUUUAUCAGUAUCCCAAGGCAUAGGCAUAUCAUCUUUAUCAGGACGAGUGUGUUUUGUACACUGCUUUGUUAAUCCGUCAUCACUUUCAUCUACAACACUAAAUGAUAUAAAAUUAUACAUUAUUUCCUCUCCAGACGACCGCCCAGAUUUAUUUUGUCGCUUUUUCCAUCAAAAAUUAAAAUUUCAACAAGGAUUUGCUCUUAAUUUUAUCAAAUACAUAAUAAAUAAUCCUCAUUAUUUUUU